Molecule: ribosomal RNA, 399 nt
Filed under: uncultured bacterium
Lineage: Bacteria
Description: bacterial SSU rRNA
Rfam family: Bacterial small subunit ribosomal RNA
Source: RNAcentral
CAGCAGCCGCGGUAAUACGAAGGGUGCAAGCGUUACUCGGAAUUACUGGGCGUAAAGCGUGCGUAGGUGGUUCGUUAAGUCUGAUGUGAAAGCCCUGGGCUCAACCUGGGAAUUGCAUUGGAUACUGGCGGGCUAGAGUGCGGUAGAGGAUGGCGGAAUUCCCGGUGUAGCAGUGAAAUGCGUAGAGAUCGGGAGGAACAUCUGUGGCGAAGGCGGCCAUCUGGACCAGCACUGACACUGAGGCACGAAAGCGUGGGGAGCAAACAGGAUUAGAUACCCUGGUAGUCCACGCCCUAAACGAUGCGAACUGGAUGUUGGGAGCAAUCUGGCUCUCAGUAUCGAAGCUAACGCGUUAAGUUCGCCGCCUGGGGAGUACGGUCGCAAGACUGAAACUCAAAG